UACGGAGGGUGCAAGCGUUGUUCGGAAUCACUGGGCGUAAAGCGCAUGUAGGCGGGUCGGUAUGUCGGGUGUGAAAGACCGGGGCUCAACCCCGGGGCUGCGCCCGAAACUGCCGGUCUUGAGUUCGGGAGAGGAACGUGGAAUUCCGGGUGUAGAGGUGAAAUUCGUAGAUAUCCGGAGGAACCCCAGAGGCGAAGGCGACGUUCUGGACCGAUACUGACGCUGAGAUGCGAAAGCGUGGGGAGCAAACAGA
This 253-nucleotide ribosomal RNA is filed under the name uncultured bacterium. Its description in RNAcentral is "partial 16S ribosomal RNA". It matches the Rfam family "Bacterial small subunit ribosomal RNA", at positions 524 to 776 of the family's 1533-position model. The record is from RNAcentral.